This 747-nucleotide ribosomal RNA is filed under the name uncultured bacterium. RNAcentral's name for it is "bacterial SSU rRNA". It matches the Rfam family "Bacterial small subunit ribosomal RNA", at positions 28 to 776 of the family's 1533-position model. The record is from RNAcentral.
GAUGAACGCUGGCGGCGUGCUUAACACAUGCAAGUCGAGCGAGAAGUUUUGAAAAGAUUCUUCGGAUGAAAUUUAAAAUGGAAAGCGGCGGACGGGUGAGUAACGCGUAGGCAACCUGCCCCAUACAAAGGGAUAGCAUUUGGAAACGAAUAUUAAUACCUUAUGAAACUUAACUAGUGCAUGCUAGGUAGGUCAAAGAUUGAUCGGUAUGGGAUGGGCCUGCGUCUGAUUAGCUAGUUGGUGAGGUAACGGCUCACCAAGGCGACGAUCAGUAGCCGACCUGAGAGGGUGAACGGCCACAUUGGAACUGAGACACGGUCCAAACUCCUACGGGGGGCAGCAGUGGGGAAUAUUGCACAAUGGGGGAAACCCUGAUGCAGCAACGCCGCGUGAACGAUGAAGGCCUUUGGGUCGUAAAGUUCUGUUCUAGGUGAUGAAAACUGACAGUAACCUAGGAGAAAGCCCCGGCUAACUCCGUGCCAGCAGCCGCGGUAAUACGGAGGGGGCAAGCGUUAUCCGGAAUUAUUGGGCGUAAAGGGUACGUAGGUGGCCUUUUAAGCGUAGGGUAUAAGGCAAUGGCUCAACCAUUGUUCGCCCUAUGAACUGGAAGGCUUGAGUGCAGGAGAGGAAAGCGGAAUUCCUAGUGUAGCGGUGGAAUGCAUAGAUAUUAGGAGGAACAUCAGCGGCGAAGGCGGCUUUCUGGACUGCAACUGACACUGAGGUACGAAAGCGUGGGGAGCAAACAGG